RNAcentral lists this RNase MRP RNA (450 nucleotides) under Ophiocordyceps sinensis. RNAcentral describes it as "RNase MRP". It matches the Rfam family "RNase MRP". Rfam says of the family: RNase MRP is an enzymatically active ribonucleoprotein with two distinct roles in eukaryotes. In mitochondria it plays a direct role in the initiation of mitochondrial DNA replication. The record is from Rfam by way of RNAcentral. RNAcentral also lists the same sequence under 1 other name. Lineage: Eukaryota; Fungi; Ascomycota; Sordariomycetes; Hypocreales; Ophiocordycipitaceae.
CCCUCGAUCAACAAAUCGCCAUUCGAAGCUCACACACAGAGACACUUGCCCUGCGCAGCGUCUCGCACUCUUGUUUGCUUUGGGAGAAAGUCCCCGGACGACUCCGUUCUUCGGAGCAUGCGGAAACGCGCCGCCAUAAAAGCACUGCGGCUGACCUCUGGUGCCUUGGCCCUCGCGCCGCACCGGCCCUGCCCGCCGCUACAUCUGCCUCUCGCGAUGCCUCGCCGGGCCUGACUGCGCGUCUCCGGCCCCCAUGGAUGAAGAUAUGAGUCCGUGCCGGGUGGCGUGCGCUCAGUGUCCUGGCGGUGGGUGAGCGGUGGCUGAUGGCGGGUGGACGCUCGGUGUCGGCGCGGGUGGUGUCGGGCUCAGUGGAAUCUUGUCGAGAUUGAUAGGUAUGCGAUUGCCCGGCGCAAGCUGGGUUACUCGAUGGGGCUUAUUCUUGAGUCGAGG